GAUGAGAGCAACUUUCCAGUAUCGACAGAAUAUGAUCCAAGCACAAGAUGUAUCAUUGUCUGUCCUCAAUGUGUUCACUCGCUUCCUUGAUGUUCCUGGAUUGAUUGACCAGGAUUUCUCAAUGAUGUUUGCUGAUGAAUUAUCUCAGAGGUUCCCGGCUAAGUGGUCAACUGUCUUCAAAGCAAAAGUCCUUGCAGACUGCAAGACUCUCCCGCAAAAGCAGAAUAUUGAUGAGUUGCUGUCAGGAACUGAACCUCAACCUGAUGACAGCUGUGGCUGGGGCAGUGAUACAUCCUCCAUCCUUCUACUCCUGCAUCUGCUCCUCUGACCUCUAGAGGCCAGGAAAAAAACAGCAAAGAUCAGUUUGUCAAGCAGCCAACCAUCUUCUCAGACAUCUUAAGGAAGGAGCCAGUGUGACCCCCUUCCAAGACUGUUGACACAAGACAACAAUUUCUCCUGUGCAUCAGUGAGCGAAGGUGACAUCCAGAGGUUCUACAUGAUUGACCAAAAGCCGGUUCCAUGCAAGGCACAUACAUUUAUUGCAGCUUUUGAUGAACUGUUCAAAGCUCGCUAUGUCUUCAGUCUCUCGUAUGGUUAAAAAUGGAUAAGAGCAAACAUUUGGGUCUGAAUGCUGCCCAGUCAUGGUGUCUUCUAUGUAACACUCCACUUAUAUUUGGUGAUGGCAUUGAAAGGAAGAAUGAUCACUGGAACUUCCUCCUUUUGAUGCAGAUUGUCAACAUACCUGUAGUGUUCUCGUACACCAUAGCUGAUGGAAUGAUGCUUUACUUGAAACAUCUGAUAAGUGACCACCACACUCGGUACAAAUUAUUGCUUCCUGGUAAGAAGUUGAUUCCCAAGCACCGCUUGAUGAUACACUAUCCAAGAUGCAUACAAAACAUUGGCCCUCUUGUCCAUACGUGGUGCAUGUGUUUUGAAGCCAAACACAAUUCUUUCAAAAGGUGUGGUUACAAUUUUCAAAAAUCUCAGUCGUUUGUCGUGGCCUUUCACUAUAAAAUUAUUUUAGAAGAUUUGCAUUUGGCCCUACAACAUCAAAACAAUCUGCAACUUGAAAGGUGGGGAGGAACGUGGUCAGGCAUGAUGUCUGCAAGCAUCUUCCAAGUGUGUCAAGUACCAACUGGGUGACAAGCUACGGUAUAGAGCACCAUGUUGGUGUGUUCAUAUGUACUGGAUGUAGCUUUGAUCUACCUGUGUUCAAGAAGACCUGGGAUAUAAUAAAACACAAAGAAUGUGCUUUCAUAAGAGCCUGUAAUGUAGAAACGAUGUACUAUGAUGACCCGUUUAACGUGUACUGCAUAGAAGACCAAAUGCUUGACUUUUCUGUCAUGUGUGUAAAUGAACUGACUCAUUUCAGACCAUUUGACAAGCAGUGCUCUAAUGACAAGUGUCAAAUAGCAAACAUACUGUAGUGCCCUGCUGUUAUUUAAGCUACUGUCUGUUGGAAAUGAAAUGUUUUUGAAUAAAAUGUA
This is a long non-coding RNA of Dunckerocampus dactyliophorus (ringed pipefish), 1487 nucleotides long. RefSeq lists it as uncharacterized. The transcript has 4 exons. The record is from RefSeq and is a predicted model, not a curated record. NCBI's taxonomy places the organism in Eukaryota, Metazoa, Chordata, Actinopteri, Syngnathiformes, Syngnathidae.